UACGGAGGGUGCAAGCGUUAUCCGGAUUCACUGGGUUUAAAGGGCGCGUAGGCGGAUAGGGAAGUCCGUGGUGAAAUCCUGCAGCUUAACUGCAGAACUGCCGUGGAUACUAGCUAUCUUGAAUGUCGUGGAGGUUAGCGGAAUAUGUCAUGUAGCGGUGAAAUGCUUAGAUAUGACAUAGAACACCCAUUGCGAAGGCAGCUAACUACGCGAUAAUUGACGCUGAUGCACGAAAGCGUGGGGAGCAAACAGG
Molecule: ribosomal RNA, 253 nt
Filed under: uncultured bacterium
Lineage: Bacteria
Description: partial 16S ribosomal RNA
Rfam family: Bacterial small subunit ribosomal RNA
Source: RNAcentral